GAUGAACGCUGUCGGCGUGCCUAAUACAUGCAAGUCGAGCGAACGGACGAGAAGCUUGCUUUUCUUAUGUUAGCUGCGGACGGGUGAGUAACAUGUGGAUAACCUACCUAUAAGACUUGGUUAACUUCGGUAAACUGGAGCUAAUACCGGAGAAUAUUUUGAACCUCAUGGUUCAAAAGUGAAAGACGGUCUUGCUGUUACUUAUAGAUGGAUCCGCGCUGCAUUAGCUAUUAGGUAGGUUAACGGCUUACCAAGGCAACAGUGCAUAGCCGACCUGAGAGGGUGUACAACCCGUCAGGAAGUGAGACACCGUCCAGACUCCUACGGGAGGAAGAAGUCGGGAAUCUUCCGCAAUGGGGGAACGCCUAACGGAACAACCACGAGUGAGUGAUAAAGGUCUACGGAUCGUAAAGCUAUGUUAUUAGGGAAAAAGAGAUUUAUAAGUAUCUGUGCACAUAUUGACGGUACCUAAUCAGAAAGCCACGGCUAACUACGUG
RNAcentral lists this ribosomal RNA (497 nucleotides) under uncultured bacterium. Its description in RNAcentral is "partial 16S ribosomal RNA". It matches the Rfam family "Bacterial small subunit ribosomal RNA", at positions 28 to 507 of the family's 1533-position model. The record is from RNAcentral.